Molecule: long non-coding RNA, 429 nt
Filed under: Malus domestica (apple)
Lineage: Eukaryota; Viridiplantae; Streptophyta; Magnoliopsida; Rosales; Rosaceae
Description: long non-coding RNA (MDOM_LNC006646)
Source: RNAcentral
CCGAACAGGCUGAGAGAUAUGAGGAGAUGGUCGAGUUUAUGGAGAAAGUUGCCAAGACUGUUGAUGUUGAGGAGCUAACAGUGGAGGAAAGAAAUCUCCUCUCUGUGGCUUAUAAGAAUGUGAUUGGAGCGAGGAGAGCUUCGUGGAGGAUCAUAUCUUCCAUUGAGCAGAAGGAGGAGAGCAGAGGGAAUGAGGAUCAUGUUGCGAUUAUCAAGGAAUACAGGAGCAAGAUUGAGACUGAGCUCAGCAAGAUCUGUGAUGGGAUCUUGAACCUUCUUGAGUCGCACCUCAUUCCAUCUGCCUCAUCUGCCGAGUCCAAGGUGUUUUACCUCAAGAUGAAAGGUGAUUACCACAGGUACCUUGCUGAGUUUAAGACUGGAGGUGAAAGAAAGGAAGCAGCUGAGAGCACUUUGUUGGCUUACAAGUCUG